GGAAUUAAAAGUCGUAACAAGGUUUCCGUAGGUGAACCUGCGGAAGGAUCAUUAUUGUAUAACCGAGGUGCGAGGGCUGUCGCUGACCCGAAAGGUCGUGCACGCCCGAGUGCCCUCACACACAUCCAUCUCACCCCUAUGUGCACCACCGCGUGGGUCCCCCUUUGGCUUGUUCGGAGGGGGGCUUACGUUUUCACACAAACUUUGUAUGCAGUGUAGAAUGUAUUUUUUGUUUUUGCGAUCACGCAAUCAAUACAACUUUCAACAACGGAUCUCUUGGCUCUC
This 285-nucleotide unclassified non-coding RNA is filed under the name plant metagenome. RNAcentral's name for it is "partial contains small subunit ribosomal RNA, internal transcribed spacer 1, and 5.8S ribosomal RNA". The stretch from base 1 to 54 matches the Rfam family "Eukaryotic small subunit ribosomal RNA", at positions 1778 to 1831 of the family's 1831-position model. The record is from RNAcentral.